AGAGUUUGAUUCUGGCUCAGAACGAACGCUGGCGGCAGGCCUAACACAUGCAAGUCGAACGCCCUAGCAAUAGGGAGUGGCAGACGGGUGAGUAACACGUGGGAACCUUCCCAAUAGUACGGAAUAGCCCAGGGAAACUUGGAGUAAUACCGUAUACGCCCGAAAGGGGAAAGAUUUAUCGCUAUUGGAUGGGCCCGCGUUGGAUUAGCUAGUUGGUGAGGUAACGGCUCACCAAGGCGACGAUCCAUAGCUGGUCUGAGAGGACGACCAGCCACACUGGGACUGAGACACGGCCCAGACUCCUACGGGAGGCAGCAGUGGGGAAUAUUGGACAAUGGGCGCAAGCCUGAUCCAGCCAUGCCGCGUGAGUGAUGAAGGCCUUAGGGUUGUAAAGCUCUUUUGUCGGGGACGAUAAUGACGGUACCCGAAGAAUAAGUCCCGGCUAACUUCGUGCCAGCAGCCGCGGUAAU
RNAcentral lists this ribosomal RNA (470 nucleotides) under uncultured Alphaproteobacteria bacterium. RNAcentral describes it as "bacterial SSU rRNA". It matches the Rfam family "Bacterial small subunit ribosomal RNA", at positions 8 to 524 of the family's 1533-position model. Lineage: Bacteria; Pseudomonadati; Pseudomonadota; Alphaproteobacteria. The record is from RNAcentral.